UACGUAGGACCCGAGCGUUGUCCGGAUUUACUGGGUGUAAAGGGCGUGUAGGUGGGUCUCUAAGUCGGUGGUGAAAUCUUGCAGCUCAACUGCAAAACUGCCAUCGAUACUGGAGAUCUUGAGUGCGGAAGAGGGAGACGGAAUUCAUGGUGUAGCGGUGAAAUGUGUAGAUAUCAUGAAGAACACCGGUAGCGAAGGCGGUCUCCUGGUCCGCAACUGACACUGAGGCGCGAAAGCGUGGGGAGCAAACAGG
Molecule: ribosomal RNA, 253 nt
Filed under: uncultured bacterium
Lineage: Bacteria
Description: partial 16S ribosomal RNA
Rfam family: Bacterial small subunit ribosomal RNA
Source: RNAcentral